UAUUUACAAAUAGUUAUUUGAAUUUUAUUUGAAUAGUUAUAUAAAUUUAUAAAUCAUUAAAGUUUAAGAUAUAAAAAUAUUAGAUAAUAAUAUCAAUAUACUAGGUAAACAGUAAUUUGUUUUGAUAACAGUUAAAAAAUACUUAAACUGUGAGCAUACAGUUUGUGAUUUAUGUUUAAUUAAAAAAUUGUUCAUUUUUAAGUUAAACAUUAAAUGAUAUUAAUUAGUUCAUUAACUCAAAACUUGUUAAAUAAGUAAACAAUUAUGAGUCUUUAACGAUUUUAAAUUACCUCAUUAAAUUUUAAAGAUUGAACAUAAAUUGUGAACAUCAUUCAGAUAGAAAUGUUAAAGAUAUAAAAGUUCAAUUCAAUACAAGUUACUAGUUAUAUAAACCAAUUCAAUAUUUUAAUGAUGGCAUCAAAUCGUUCUGAUAGGAGAAGAGCAAGUUAUGAAUUGUCAACUUUUUUUUCUUCAAUACAUGACCAAAAUCGCAGUAUUGAAGUAAACGGCAAAACUCUUAAGCCACAAGUUGACAGAGCUAACCUAUACCCAGUUGAUUUCUCUAUAUCUGACGUUUGUUUUGAAAGCAAU
Hydra vulgaris (swiftwater hydra) is the source of this 591-nucleotide long non-coding RNA. RefSeq lists it as uncharacterized. The record is from RefSeq and is a predicted model, not a curated record. Lineage: Eukaryota; Metazoa; Cnidaria; Hydrozoa; Anthoathecata; Hydridae.